Molecule: ribosomal RNA, 392 nt
Filed under: uncultured Gammaproteobacteria bacterium
Lineage: Bacteria; Pseudomonadati; Pseudomonadota; Gammaproteobacteria
Description: bacterial SSU rRNA
Rfam family: Bacterial small subunit ribosomal RNA
Source: RNAcentral
AAUGGGCGCAAGCCUGAUCUAGCCAUGCCGCGUGAGUGAUGAAGGCCCCAGGGUCGUAAAGCUCUUUCGCCAGGGAUGAUAAUGACAGUACCUGGUAAAGAAACCCCGGCUAACUCCGUGCCAGCAGCCGCGGUAAUACGGAGGGGGUUAGCGUUGUUCGGAAUUACUGGGCGUAAAGCGCGCGUAGGCGGACUAUUAAGUCAGGGGUGAAAUCCCGGGGCUCAACCCCGGAACUGCCUUCGAUACUGGUAGUCUAGAGUUCGAGAGAGGUGAGUGGAACUCCGAGUGUAGAGGUGAAAUUCGUAGAUAUUCGGAAGAACACCAGUGGCGAAGGCGGCUCACUGGCACGAUACUGACGCUGAGGUGCGAAAGUGUGGGGAGCAAACAGGAUU